UACGGGGGGGGCAAGCGUUGUUCGGAAUUACUGGGCGUAAAGGGCUCGUAGGUGGCCAACUAAGUCAGACGUGAAAUCCCUCGGCUUAACCGGGGAACUGCGUCUGAUACUGGAUGGCUUGAGUCCGGGAGAGGGAUGCGGAAUUCCAGGUGUAGCGGUGAAAUGCGUAGAUAUCUGGAGGAACACCGGUGGCGAAGGCGGCAUCCUGGACCGGCAUUGACGCUGAGGAGCGAAAGCCAGGGGAGCAAACGGG
RNAcentral lists this ribosomal RNA (253 nucleotides) under uncultured bacterium. RNAcentral's name for it is "partial 16S ribosomal RNA". It matches the Rfam family "Bacterial small subunit ribosomal RNA", at positions 524 to 776 of the family's 1533-position model. The record is from RNAcentral.